UACGGAGGGUGCAAGCGUUAUCCGGAUUUAUUGGGUUUAAAGGGUGCGUAGGCGGUUAUAUAAGUCAGCGGUGAAAUUUUUCAGCUUAACUGGAAACAUGCCGUUGAUACUGUAUAGCUUGAAUAUGGUUGCUGUGAGUGGAAUGUGUAGUGUAGCGGUGAAAUGCUUAGAUAUUACACAGAAUAUCGAUUGCGAAGGCAACUCACAAAGCCAAUAUUGACGCUGAGGCACGAAAGUGUGGGGAUCAAACAGG
RNAcentral lists this ribosomal RNA (253 nucleotides) under uncultured bacterium. RNAcentral's name for it is "partial 16S ribosomal RNA". It matches the Rfam family "Bacterial small subunit ribosomal RNA", at positions 524 to 776 of the family's 1533-position model. The record is from RNAcentral.